Molecule: ribosomal RNA, 840 nt
Filed under: uncultured bacterium
Lineage: Bacteria
Description: bacterial SSU rRNA
Rfam family: Bacterial small subunit ribosomal RNA
Source: RNAcentral
ACACAUGCAAGUCGAACGAGCGAGAGAGAGCUUGCUUUCUCAAGCGAGUGGCGAACGGGUGAGUAACGCGUGAGGAACCUGCCUCAAAGAGGGGGACAACAGUUGGAAACGACUGCUAAUACCGCAUAAGCCCACAGGUCGGCAUCGACCAGAGGGAAAAGGAGCAAUCCGCUUUGAGAUGGCCUCGCGUCCGAUUAGCUAGUUGGUGAGGUAACGGCCCACCAAGGCAACGAUCGGUAGCCGGACUGAGAGGUUGAACGGCCACAUUGGGACUGAGACACGGCCCAGACUCCUACGGGAGGCAGCAGUGGGGAAUAUUGCACAAUGGGGGAAACCCUGAUGCAGCGACGCCGCGUGGAGGAAGAAGGUCUUCGGAUUGUAAACUCCUGUUGUUGAGGAAGAUAAUGACGGUACUCAACAAGGAAGUGACGGCUAACUACGUGCCAGCAGCCGCGGUAAAACGUAGGUCACAAGCGUUGUCCGGAAUUACUGGGUGUAAAGGGAGCGCAGGCGGGAAGACAAGUUGGAAGUGAAAUCUAUGGGCUCAACCCAUAAACUGCUUUCAAAACUGUUUUUCUUGAGUAGUGCAGAGGUAGGCGGAAUUCCCGGUGUAGCGGUGGAAUGCGUAGAUAUCGGGAGGAACACCAGUGGCGAAGGCGGCCUACUGGGCACCAACUGACGCUGAGGCUCGAAAGUGUGGGUAGCAAACAGGAUUAGAUACCCUGGUAGUCCACACCGUAAACGAUGAUUACUAGGUGUUGGAGGAUUGACCCCUUCAGUGCCGCAGUUAACACAAUAAGUAAUCCACCUGGGGAGUACGACCGCAAGGUUGAAACUCAA